Molecule: long non-coding RNA, 7027 nt
Filed under: Prunus persica (peach)
Lineage: Eukaryota; Viridiplantae; Streptophyta; Magnoliopsida; Rosales; Rosaceae
Description: long non-coding RNA (PPER_LNC005488)
Source: RNAcentral
UCUUCAUCACGUCCUUGGCCAUCUCUGCAGAUGAAACAAUCAGCGUUGGAACUUUUCCUAAGUGCAGAAGCAUAACAUCGCCAUACUUCUUCGAGAGAGCUUGAAGAGAGCGGUGUGGGAAUGAUCCUAGCUGGUGAAGGUUCCCAAUCCAAGGCAGCCUUGGUGGGGAUGGUGGCAGUUUGAUUUUCUGGUUUUUCCCACUUGAUGAGGAUGAUCUUGUAAGUGCAAACAAUAUGAAUAUUGAAAGGACGAGAAGAGGAAGCAGGAAAAGAUUGCUCUGUAGUUGCUGCCACAUUUGAUUGAAAAGUGAAAGUACCGCCAUUGCUUUAAUUUUGGGUUGCCAGUUGAAAUCUGAGGGCCUUCUUCUUCUUAUUUAUAGAUAAGUUGUCCAGCUUGGGAGCCCACACUUAUUGAAACUUUCAAUUACGCCUGCGUCAGAGGUCGGUUGUAAUUGUCAAAUAGAUAUAAUUUUUUAUUCAGAGCAAGGGUUGAUUUCAAUAUAAUGUCGAUAUAAAUAUUUGAGAUAUUUGUUCAAAAUGGUGGUCCAAGAUUUUCAAACACCAUUUCAAAUCAACAAAUUCAAUUGCUAAUUUUCAACCACUCAAAUUAUUUGUGAACAUGUCUGGUAAUUUUAUCUAUGUAGUUUGAUUUUAUUGUAAUUUAAAGAUAUCAUUUGUAAUGAAAUGAAAUUCUUUGCACGAAGGGCUGGCUUUAACUUCAAUUUUGGCAAUUUGAUCUCUGUAGUUUGAUUUUAUUGCAAUUUAAGGAUAUGCUUAAAUUUCCAUCUAAUUUCUUAACGAAAUAAACAUGUGUCUCUUAGUUGGAGGGGUAUUUCUGAUUGAAUUUAGAUGUUAAAUUGACAAAAUUAAAACUACAGAGAAUAAAAUGAAAAAACUGGUAAACUACAUAGGAACCAAAAGUUACAUAAUGACAGAGUUCGGUUAUGCUACAGUUAUCACACUCGUGGAGACAAUAAUUAUUGUCUGUGGAGGGAUACAUUUGAUGAGUUAUGUGUUUAGUUUCUGUUGGCUUUAAUUCCAACUGUGAUGUUAGUAAUGUAGCUUAGGAGGAUUACAAUACUGGAAUUUUAUUUUCAUAGGAAUUAAAUCAGAGAUUAGUCUUUUCUCAACUUGUCUUCCUUUCCUGCAUGGAAUUUUUUCAGAUUUUUGUUUCGCUUAUUUUGGUAAGCAUGACAAGGUUAGAUUCGUCUUCACGUACACUUAUGACAACCGUCCUCGGCCCCAUCCAAAUCCGACCACAUCAGAAUUCGAGCCGGCACAUCCUCGUGGACCAGAUUUAGCCGUAGCAUAUCAAGGGAAGAUAAAAGUUAGAAUUAAAGCCAACACAACAGAGAGAUGUUGUCAUAGCAUCAAGGGAAGGAUGGAGGGCAGAGAGAGAGAGAGAGAGAGAGAGAGAGAGAGAGAGAGCCAUGCAUGCACGCAUUCUUUUGAAGUUGCAGAAGAAUUAAUAUCCACCAGAUGUCGUCUUCCACAAUUAUUGAAGCUUGCAAUUAAGCCUGCGCCAGAGAUUUGGUGUAAUAGUGAAACUGCUACAAAUUGACAAUAAGUAUCGGGUCCACCAGGAUGUCUUCUUCCACCAACCUACUAUACGACAUGGCAAAAAAAUUUCUGGAUGUGUUGGGAAAGAUUCUGACAUUGCCCCCUUUUGAUGGUCCAAGAUUUUCCCAUUUUGGAUGAAAAAUUUUCAACCCAUUUUGGAUAACAAAGACAUGCUGGUUUUCAGUUCCAGUUUUGUCGUAAUUAAUUGCAUGCACACAACUACUCGCCGCAGUUGCCGCUUUUAUCUUCUUCACCUUACUAUUGCACCAUUGAGAAAUUAUAGAACAUUACAGUAGAAUGGUCAUUUCAAAAGUUUCUUCUCUUUAUGUAUUUACUAGUGACAAACCGUUCUCGGCCAUUCCAAAUCCGAUCGACCACAUCACAAUUUGAGGCACAACCUCAUGGACCCGAUGUAUAUGUAGACGUAAUAUCCACCACCAACUUAAGAACCAAGCCUACUCUUCUUUGAUCAAAAUCUGCUGCAAAUCUAUAAUUUGCCAUUGAUCUUAGAUUUUUCAGUUAUAGGUAAUGUCGAUAAAAGUAAUGAUAAUUGCUAUAUUUACAGAUUUCUGGAAAAUAAACAUAGAAUUUAAAUUCGAAACAAGGGAAGAUGUUGCCGUGGUAUCAAGGGCAGAGGGAGAGGUGUAGGAUCGCUUUCCAGGUAGUCUUGAGUGAGCUCAGAGUCUGAGCCAUGCAUGCCAUGCCAUGCCAUGCUUUUAAACUCAAAUAAACACGUUUUUUGCCUGCUACCGCAAAAACUGGUCCAUGAGGUUGUGGACCAAAGUCUGAUGUGGUCCGGCUUUGAAUUGGCCGACGACGGUUGUUACGUGAAGACAAAAUCUAACUUCUUCAUGCUUCUUACCAAAAUAAGAUAGACAAGCCAUGCAUGAAGACAAGCUGAUUUAUUUCCCUUCUAUUUUGGUCCAGGCCUAAUCACAUUGACUGCCUAUGUGAAAAAUUAAAAUGAAAGCAUAUGUGAAGGAUUAUUGUCACCCAGCUGAUUUAAAACCUACACGAUCUAAGGACUCAACCAUCAUGAUGCAAAUUUUCUACCAUUCAUUCACAUAUGCAGUAUAAAUACAUAGAAAAUAGAAAUACUCUACUUGUUGAAUCAUCAUGAUCCAUUAAAUGUACCAAUCAAUGGAUCAUGAUGACCCAACAAUGAAUGUAUCAUAACUGAACCCGUCAUAACGAUGAAUUAAGGUGUCAUUAUAUUGUAAGCUUUUGGAAUAGUGGGACAGAGAGAAAAAAGUAAAAUAAUAAAUAAAAUGGUGACCAUGAAAAAUUGUUUUGUGGGAUAAAGGAAUAUAUCGUGAAGAAGCAACAAUUGAAAAUAGAGUGCAAGUCAGCCCUUGAAGUUGUGUUGUGUGCAAGCAAUUAAGCAUAUACUUGUGAAGCAGCAAUGACAUAAAUUAGAGCACUUCCAGCGGCGAGGGGAAGCUCGGCAGGAGAGGGCUUAGGCCCGCGUGAUGGCUUCAGCGCCCAAGGCCAAGCUUGGGCAAGGUGUGGGGCCCACCAACCUGGGCAAGCCCAUAGGCAAAUUCAACAUGUGCUGCUGCUUGGGCAAGUGACGUAAUGAUGACAUCAGUAGUCAGUUAAAAUAAUAAUAAUAAUAAAAUUUAAAAAGAAAAAAAUACCAAAAAAUUCAGAAUUUUUUAUUUAUAAAUAUCAAACCAUAGUCUUUACUUGCAACGCCAAAACCCUAUCAAAAUUAAUCUUUUAUGCAUAAAAAAUAAAAAUAAUUUAAAGUGAAUAAUAAUUGCCAUUUGUCAUGGCAAUGAGUGGAAAUACACUUUGCCUUUUGCAAGGGUUAGCAUUAUUCAUGUGAAUAGUAAUAGACCUUACCUCCCCUUGCUCUUUGCCAUGGCAAAUGAAUGAAAGUGCUCUUAAGUGCUGCAACAACAUGCGGGGUAGAUUUCAUUUCAACCAAUUCACAAAUAAUUUGUGUCAAAACUUAAAACUAGUAACUGAACUUAAAUGGUUUGUUUGAGAAUCUUGGACGACCAAAACAAGCUUACACGAUUUUGAACAAAAACAAUUAAGCUCAUUUCCUGUUGCCCCAUGUUGCAAGUUUCUUUUUGGGUCACACUCUGCCCCUCACCGUCAAAUUUGUCAAAACAUGUGUUAAAUAUGUUGACAUGAUGUGAAAGGGACCCAUUGUUCUGCUAAAAUACAUUUCACUUAAUCACCAUGUGUGCAAGAAUAAUAAUAAAAUUAUUUAACCAUUAAAAAAUAAGAUUGAUUAAAAAAAAAAAAAACUCCAAUUUCCCAUUUAGUAAAAUAUUGAAGGUAAUCUAACUUGACACGAUUCUAUGCCUUUACUCUUUAUAUAUUAGUAUAAGCAAUGGUCACACACACUAGUUGCACAGUGUUAUGGGUGUUUAAACUUGGAACCCCUCGUCUACAAGUUAAGAUCAUUUUUCAUUAAGAUACAAAAGUAGUAUAAAAAAAUGUAUUGCAUGUGACAAAACUCUAUGGACUUUUUUUUCGUUAACAUUACAACCUAGUUGUGGGCUUUAAUUAUUAGUCUCAUCCAGAGCAAAAUGGGUGAAGGUACCUUGCACAGGUUUUGGAAUGCCGGGACACAGAAAAAAGGGAAAUAGUUGCCAUAAAAAUUGUCCGGGGGCGGGCCGUGGCCGGGGCCGGGUGGGGUGGUGUAUUGUAAGUAUGAGAUUAAUUUGUGAUGGAUUGAUUUUCUCAAGAAAAACAAUUACCGCUCAUUUCCCAUUGACCUUGUCCUUGAGAUUGGCCGACAACUGUUGGAAUUUGUAGCAUGUGUGUAGUAAAACCUAAGCUAGUCUCUUUCAAUCACCCUAAAAGCACUCACUAUGGCCGGGGUGAUAUCUUUUUUAAUUUUUUGCUUGUAAAUGGUGAUAAUUAUAAGUUAAAUUGGUUUUGUUUUUCUUUGUCAGAGCUGUUCAGAGGGUGCAGCCUCGCGAGAGAGUAUCAGACCUGUUCAGAAACUUGCUCGUCUUCAGGUUUGUGUUAAAUACCUGAAUGAAUCAAACAGUUCUGUGUGAGUAAUAAUUCUGCAAGCUCUGCUAUAUGUACACAUGGUUCUUCCAUACACAACUGAUACCAAAUUAUUUUCAAAGUAUCAGUCAGGCCAUUAUACCAAUCAAUUGGGUCUUUAGUUGGUACUCGUUUAUCUCUCCUUUCAUUUCACCAUAUCCAUUUUAUCUUGAGAUCUUCAGGAGAAACUACAAUUAAAUGCUUUUUCAAAUAGCCAAAUAAGAGAAACAAAAAUCUGAUUUUCCAUGCAUGAGGACAAGCUGAGAAGGCAAAUCUCUGGUUUAUUUUAGGCUAAAACUUAGACAAAUUCAAUGUCGAGUGCUUCCGUGUCAAAACUAUCAUCAUUAGUUGCCUAACUUGCCUGACUUUGCAGAGAAAAGGGAAGACUAGACACUCUUGAUGGCGUACCAACAUGUCAAGGACGAACCUGAAGCAAACACAUUGUAUCUAGAUACAUGCGGCAACAAUCAUGUGUGGUAGUAAGUCAUCUUUUCAUACUACUUUAUGUUUUAUAGUGACAACUCUUCAGUGAAAUAAUCCAUUUUAUGUUGAGAUGUUCACAAGAAACUACAAUUAAAUGCAUUUUCAAAUAGCCAAAGAUGAUUACAACAUCUCAGAGAUAUAUCACUCUGUAAUUAUUAUUAUUAUUAUUAUAAAUAUUUAUGUUGCUGCAGGCAUUGCAGAUACAACUUCUUGCUCAACAGAAAACAAACAAAAAAAAAACUAGAUUUAGAGCAUAAAUAAAAUAAAGAGGCCAUGAAAAUUCUGGAUGAUGAUGGAGGGAUUAAGGGGAGUAUGGUGUUGGAAUAAGAUACAGAGGAGUUUUCUUAUAGACUGUGAGACCGUAAACUUCGGACAUGUCCAAGGUCUCAGCCAAUUUACUGCCACCACUAGGCAACUUCCAGUCGAACCAAAACAGGAUGUUGGCAAGCACAUAUUCAGCUGAAGCAACCCCAAAGGCGAGUCCAGGACACACCCUUCUCCCAGCGCCAAAUGGGAUCAGCUCAAACUCCUGACCUAUGAAACCAAUGGAAUUCUCCUCGAACCUCUCUGGCAUAAACUCAUCUGGCUUAUCCCAUACUUUGGGGUCUCUUUGUAUAGCGUAUGCAUUCACAAACACUUGUGUUUUCGCAGGUACAUCGUAACCUCCCAAUUUUACAUCUGACAUUGCUUCCCGAGGAAGUAAAAGAGGCGCUGGAGGGUGAAGUCUUAAAUUUUCUUUGAUCACACAUGUCAUGUAUUUCAUUUCCUUGAUGUCACUCUCCUCUACAUAUCCCCUUUUCCCCGCCACUCUUCUUACCUCUUCUUGGGCUUUCUUCAUCACCCGUGGAUUUUGCGAAAGCUCUGACAUUAACCAUAUCGCUGCUGUCCAACUAGUAUCACUUCCACCCACAAACAUGUCCUAAAAUCAUAAAAUCAACAAGCCAAAUCAAUCUUCAGCCACAUAUAUAUUUAUCAAUGUGACUAAAGCUAGGGAGGGGGGAUAUACAUACCUGCAGAAUUGCUUUGACAUUGGAGGUAGUGAGCUCAAAGUCGAGUGAGCCGUCCUUUUGAACGUCGAGGAGAAUAUCCACAAUAUCCUUCUUACGAGGAUUACCUUCUUUCUGUACUGCCUUAUGUUCAUCAAUCAACUUAUCGAAAAAUUUAUCAAAUUCCAACCAAAUUGAUUUCAAAUGUGCAAGGUAGCCUCUAGCACGGUCAAUCCAUUUUAAAGAAGGGAAGAAAUCUCCAAAGCUGAAACUCAUCAGCUGAGUCAUCAACUCCGUUGUGGUCUCUCCAAACCAAUUGUCUUCUUUGUCAUCAAACUUCUUUCCAAGAAUGCACCUGCAGAUGAUGUUGUUGGAGGUUGACACCAGCAGCUCCCCAAUAUUAAUGGGAGCCCCGUUCGAGCUGGCGGAGGCUUUGCGAAUCUUGCUGACCAACUCUGCAACUUCCUCCACCCUUGCGUACUGAAACUGGUGCACUCUUUUGAGGCUCAGAAGCUCAAGAACACAAAUUCUGCGAACUUGUUUCCAGUACUCCCCGUAUGGGGAAAAAGUAAUAUCAUGGCCGUCGUAGAACAAUAUACUUGGAGCCGUGGUUUGAGGCCGGCUGCAGAAUACAAUGUCUUGGGUCUUCAUCACGUCCUUGGCCAUCUCUGCAGAUGAAACAAUCAGCGUUGGAACUUUGCCAAAGUGCAGAAGCAUAACAUCGCCAUACUUCUUCGAGAGAACUCGAAGAGAGCGAUGUGGGAAUGAUCCUAGCUGGUGAAGGUUCCCAAUCCAAGGCAGCCUUGGUGGGGAUGGUGGCAGUUUGAGUUUCUGGUUUUUCCCACUUGACGAGGAUGAUCUUGUAAGUGCAAACAAAAUGAAUAUUGAAAGGAAGAGAAGAGGAAGCAGGAAAAGAUUGCUAUAUAGGUGCUGCCACAUUUGAUUGAAAAAUGAAAAUACAGCCAUUGCUUUAAUUUUGGGUUGCCA